Molecule: ribosomal RNA, 468 nt
Filed under: uncultured bacterium
Lineage: Bacteria
Description: partial 16S ribosomal RNA
Rfam family: Bacterial small subunit ribosomal RNA
Source: RNAcentral
GACGAACGCUGGCGGCGUGCUUAAUACAUGCAAGUCGAACGGAAAGGCCCUGCUUUUGUGGGGUUCUCGAGUGGCGAACGGGUGAGUAACACGUGAGUAACCUGCCCUUGACUUUGGGAUAACUCCAGGAAACUGGGGCUAAUACCGGAGAGGAGCUCCUGCUGCAUGGUGGGGGUUGGAAAGUUUCGGCGGUUGGGGAUGGACUCGCGGCUUAUCAGCUUGUUGGUGGGGUAGUGGCUUACCAAGGCUUUGACGGGUAGCCGACCUGAGAGGGUGACCGGCCUCAUUGGGACUGAGGUACGGCCCAGACUCCUACGGGCGGCAGCAGUGGGGAAUAUUGCACAAUGGGCGGGAGCCUGAUACAACAACGCCGCGUGCGGAAUGACCGCCUUCGGGUUGUAAACCGAUUUCGACUGUGACGAAGCGUGAGUGACGGUACUGGGUAAGGAAGCCCCGGCUAACUACGUG